UAAUGGGUGUGAAAACACCACGCCGAAAGACCAAGGGUUCCUGCAACGUUAAUCGACGCGGGGUUGGUUCGGUUCCUAAGGCGAGGCUGAAAAGCGUAGUCGAUGGAAACAGGUUAAUAUUCACUUUUGGUUACUGCGAUGGAGGGACGGAGAAGGCUGGCCAGCUUGGCGUUGGUUGUCCAAGUUUAAGGUGGUAGGCUGAAAUCUUAGGUAAAUCCGGGUUUCAAGGCCGAGCUGAUGACGAGUCGUCUUUAGAUGACGAAGUGGUUGAUGCCAUGCUUCCAAGAAAGCUUCUAAGCUUCAGGUAACCAGGAACCGUACCCCAAACCGACACAGGUGGUCGGUAGAGAAUACCAAGGCGCUUGAGAGAACUCGGGUGAAGGAACUAGGCAAAUGGCACCGUAACUUCGGGAGAAGGUGCGCCGGCUAGGGUGAAGGAUUUACUGCGUAAGCUCUGGCUGGUCGAAGAUACCAGGCCGCUGCGACUGUUUAUUAAAACACAGCACUCUGCAAACACGAAAGUGGACGUAGGGUGUGACGCCUCCCCGGUGCCGGAAGGUUAAUUGAUGGGGUUAGCGCAAGCGAAGCUCGAUCGAAGCCCCGGUAAACGGCGGCCGUAACAAUAACGGUCCUAAGGUAGCGAAAUUCCUUGUCGGGUGGUUCCGACCUGCACGAAUGGCGUAACGAUGGCGGCGCUGUCUCCACCGAGACUCAGUGAAAUUGAAAUCGCUGUGAAGAUGCAGUGUAUCCGCGGCUAGACGGAAAGACCCCGUGAACCUUUACCGUAGCUUUCACUGACUUUGAGCCUGCUUGUGUAGGAUAGGUGGGAGGCUUUGAAGCGUGGACGCCAGUUCGCGUGGAGCCAUCCUUGAAAUACCACCCUGGCAUGCUUGAGGUUCUAACUCUGGUCCGUAAUCCGGAUCGAGGACAGUGUAUGGUGGGCAGUUUGACUGGGGCGGUCUCCUCCUAAAGAGUAACGGAGGAGUACGAAGGUGCGCUCAGACCGGUCGGAAAUCGGUCGCAGAGUAUAAAGGCAAAAGCGCGCGCUUGACUGCGAGACAGACACGUCGAGCAGGUACGAAAGUAGGUCUUAGUGAUCCGGUGGUUCUGGUAUGGAAGGGCCAUCGCUCAACGGAUAAAAAGGUACUCCCGGAUAACAGGCUGAUACCGCCCAAGAGUUCAUAUCGACGGCGGUGUUUGGCACCUCGAUGUCGGCUCAUCACAUCCUUGGGCUGAAGCCGGUCCCAAGGUAUGGCUGUUCGCCAUUUAAAGUGGUACGCGAGCUGGGUUUAGAACGUCGUGAGACAGUUCGGUCCCUAUCUGCCGUGGACGUUUGAGAUCUGAGAGGGGCUGCUCCUAGUACGAGAAGGACCGGAGUGGACGAACCUCUGGUGUUCCGGUUGUCACGCCAGUGGCAUUGCCGGGUAGCUAUGUUCGGAAAAGAUAACCGCUGAAACCAUCUAAGCGGGAAACUUGCCUCAAGAUGAGAUCUCACUGGGAACUUGAUUCCCUGAAGGGCCGUCGAAGACUACGACGUUGAUAGGCUGGGUGUGUAAGCGUUGUGAGGCGUUGAGCUAACCAGUACUAAUUGCCCGUGAGGC
Molecule: ribosomal RNA, 1601 nt
Filed under: metagenome
Description: bacterial LSU rRNA
Rfam family: Bacterial large subunit ribosomal RNA
Source: RNAcentral